Molecule: long non-coding RNA, 759 nt
Organism: Oncorhynchus keta (chum salmon)
Lineage: Eukaryota; Metazoa; Chordata; Actinopteri; Salmoniformes; Salmonidae
Exons: 3
Source: RefSeq, a predicted model, not a curated record
UGUGAUGGUGUAGACUAUAUUACAUGGAUUUAUUGUGAUGGUGUAGGUAGACUAUAUUACAUGGAUUCAUUGUGAUGGUGUAGACUAUAUUACAUGGAUUUAUUGUGAUGGUGUAGACUAUAUUACAUGGAUUUAUUGUGAUGGUGUAGGUAGACUAUAUUACAUGGAUUUAUUGUGAUGGUGUAGACUAUAUUACAUGGAUUUAUUGUGAUGGUGUAGACUAUAUUACAUGGAUUUAUUGUGAAGGUGUAGGUAGACUAUAUUACAUGGAUUUAUUGUGAUGGUGUAGACUAUAUUACAUGGAUUUAUUGUGAUGGUGUAGGUAGACUAUAUUACAUGGAUUUAUUGUGAUGGUGUAGACUAUAUUACAUGGAUUUAUUGUGAUGGUGUAGACUAUAUUACAUGGAUUUAUUGUGAUGGUGUAGGUAGACUAUAUUACAUGGAUUUAUUGUGAUGGUGUAGACUAUAUUACAUGGAUUUAUUGUGAUGGUGUAGACUAUAUUACAUGGAUUUAUUGUGAAGGUGUAGACUAUAUUACAUGGAUUUAUUGUGAUGGUGUAGGUAGACUAUAUUACAUGGAUUUAUUGUGAUGGUGUAGGUAGACUAUAUUACAUGGAUUUAUUGUGAUGGUGUUGGUAGACUAUAUUACAUGGAUUUAUUGUGAUGGUGUAGGUAGACUAUAUUACAUGGAUUUAUUGUGAUGGUGUAGACUAUAUUACAUGGAUUUAUUGUGAUGGUGUAGGUAGACUAUAUUACAUG